Molecule: ribosomal RNA, 497 nt
Filed under: uncultured bacterium
Lineage: Bacteria
Description: partial 16S ribosomal RNA
Rfam family: Bacterial small subunit ribosomal RNA
Source: RNAcentral
GAUGAACGCUGGCGGCGUGCCUAAUACAUGCAAGUCGAGCGAACAGACGAGGAGCUUGCUCCUCUGACGUUAGCGGCGGACGGGUGAGUAACACGUGGAUAACCUUCCUAUAAGACUGGGAUAACUUCGGGAAACCGGAGCUAAUACCGGAUAAUAUAUUGAACCGCAUGGUUCAAUAGUGAAAGACGGUUUUGCUGUCACUUAUAGAUGGAUCCGCGCCGCAUUAGCUAGUUGGUAAGGUAACGGCUUACCAAGGCAACGAUGCGUAGCCGACCUGAGAGGGUGAUCGGCCACACUGGAACUGAGACACGGUCCAGACUCCUACGGGAGGCAGCAGUAGGUAAUCUUCCGCAAUGGGCGAAAGCUUGACGGAGCAACGCCGCGUGAGUGAUGAAGGUCUUCGGAUCGUAAAACUCUGUUAUUAGGGAAGAACAAAUGUGUAAGUAACUAUGCACGUCUUGACGGUACCUAAUCAGAAAGCCACGGCUAACUACGUG